Non-coding RNA from Danionella cerebrum, 67 nucleotides. NCBI's taxonomy places the organism in Eukaryota, Metazoa, Chordata, Actinopteri, Cypriniformes, Danionidae. The record is from the annotation of a GenBank genome assembly.
GUUACAUACAGUUGGUAGAGCAUUGUGCUAACAACACUAAGGUCAUGGGUUCAAAUCCCAGGGAACG